Long non-coding RNA from Herpailurus yagouaroundi (jaguarundi), 319 nucleotides. RefSeq lists it as uncharacterized. NCBI's taxonomy places the organism in Eukaryota, Metazoa, Chordata, Mammalia, Carnivora, Felidae. The record is from RefSeq and is a predicted model, not a curated record. The transcript has 2 exons.
GGAGAAUUGGUUGUGAGAACAAUGUGGAUACUGAUGGAGAAAAUACAAGGUAGGCCAGAGUGGCCAUUGAUUUUCUUCCUUGGGUUUCUGAGAAAGCUUUGCUCCCUAGGCAUCUUUAUCCGGCUUGCUGACCGAAGCAUUAUUCACACUUCUCCUGUGGCCAUGAGGGUGAGACACCUGCUGCUAGGGACUCCAGGCUCCUACCUCUGAAGGACAGUGGACUAAAUUUCUGACAGGGGCCAUGAGACACCUUUGAGGGAAAGAGAUGUAAGAGCUCUGAUCUCUGAGGACAUAAAGCCUCUCACAGGUGCUUGCUUUA